AAUCAACGCUGGCGGCGUGCCUCAGACAUGCAAGUCGAACGCGAAAGUUUCCUUCGGGAAACAAGUAGAGUGGCGCACGGGUGAGUAACACGUAGGUAAUCUACCUUUGGAUGGGGAAUAACAAUCGGAAACGGUUGCUAAUACCGCAUAAUGCAGCGGCACCUAAUGGUGACAGUUGUUAAAGCGGGGGAUCGAAAGACCUCGCGUCUGAAGAGGAGCCUGCGGCGGAUUAGCUAGUUGGUAAGGUAAUGGCUUACCAAGGCUACGAUCCGUAACCGGCCUGAGAGGGCGGUCGGUCACACUGACACUGACAUACGGGUCAGACUCCUACGGGAGGCAGCAAUCGGGAAUUUUGGGCAAUGGGCGAAAGCCUGACCCAGCAACGCCGCGUGAAGGAUGAAAUCCCU
Molecule: ribosomal RNA, 407 nt
Filed under: uncultured bacterium
Lineage: Bacteria
Description: bacterial SSU rRNA
Rfam family: Bacterial small subunit ribosomal RNA
Source: RNAcentral